Molecule: transfer RNA, 68 nt
Filed under: Davidius fruhstorferi
Lineage: Eukaryota; Metazoa; Arthropoda; Insecta; Odonata; Gomphidae
Description: tRNA-Gln
Source: RNAcentral
UAUAUUUUGGUGUAUGAUGCACAGAAAUUUUUGAUAUUUCAAGAACAGUUUAAUUCUGUAAAAUGUAA